GCGGUGGUAGUUCAGUGGUAGAAUCCUCACCUUCCAUGUGGGAGACCCAGGUUCGAUUCCCAGCCGGUGCA
RNAcentral lists this transfer RNA (71 nucleotides) under Loxodonta africana (African savanna elephant). It matches the Rfam family "tRNA". From Rfam's summary of the family: Transfer RNA (tRNA) molecules are approximately 80 nucleotides in length. Their secondary structure includes four short double-helical elements and three loops (D, anti-codon, and T loops). The record is from Rfam by way of RNAcentral. Lineage: Eukaryota; Metazoa; Chordata; Mammalia; Proboscidea; Elephantidae.